Molecule: ribosomal RNA, 209 nt
Filed under: uncultured bacterium
Lineage: Bacteria
Description: partial 16S ribosomal RNA
Rfam family: Bacterial small subunit ribosomal RNA
Source: RNAcentral
ACUCCUACGGGAGGCAGCAGUAGGGAAUAUUGGGCAAUGGCCGAGAGGCUGACCCAGCCAUGCCGCGUGCAGGAUGAAGGCUUUCUGAGUCGUAAACUGCUUUUGCCAGGGAAGAAAAAAAGGGAUGCGUCCUUUACUGACGGUACCUGGUGAAUAAGCACCGGCUAACUCCGUGCCAGCAGCCGCGGUAAUACGGAGGGUGCAAGCGU